AGCGUUAAGGUGUAUAGUUUAAAACUAGACUUAAUAGGGAAGUAGGUGAAAGUCCUACGCAAUCCCGUUGCUGUAAUUGUGGAGUAAAUCUUUGAGUUAAACCACUGAAGAGUAUAAGUGAUUAUAUGAAUUGGGAAGGUAAAGAUUUGCAAUGAAACAUAAGCCAGAAGACCUGCCUUAAUGA
This 184-nucleotide non-coding RNA is filed under the name uncultured Cellulosilyticum sp. The record is from RNAcentral. Lineage: Bacteria; Bacillati; Bacillota; Clostridia; Lachnospirales; Cellulosilyticaceae.